UUUGUAUUUCUAAGAUGGCUUGGCAAAAAUAACAGCCAAAAAAAAAGAAAAGAAAGAAAAAGAAAUUUCAGCUAGGCUCUAUUCUCUAAAUGAUGUUUGAAGCUGUAUGAUAUUGCCCUUAAUUAAGUAUACAUAGAAGCCCAGUGUGUUGUCACAUGCCUGUAAUCCCAGCAAUUUGGGAAUCUGAGGCUAGAGAAUCACAAGUUCAAGACCAAAGUAAGCAACUUAGUUAAACCCUGUCUCAAAACAAGAAAUAUAAAAGGGUCAGGGAUGUAGCUUACUGGUAAAUUACCCCUGGGUUCUUUACCCUGGGUUCAAUACCAAGUGCUAG
This 331-nucleotide long non-coding RNA is filed under the name Marmota monax (woodchuck). The record is from RNAcentral. Lineage: Eukaryota; Metazoa; Chordata; Mammalia; Rodentia; Sciuridae.